GCCCAGAUGCUUCUCUAAGUAUGUUGCAAUUAUUUACUCUCUAAGUCAUAUAGGCUCACCUAAUACUUAUUACCCAUACUUCUUAAUUAAGUCAGACCCAUCAUUCACAAGCAGGUGCAAAGCCAUCAUUGGAUCCCUUACUUAAUAGUUAUUGGGCCCAACCCCAUCUUUACCCUGGAGCAACUCUUUGCUAAUAGAGUGGUUGCGUAUUCUCGAUGCAACUAAAUCACUAUAAUCAAUCG
Molecule: long non-coding RNA, 242 nt
Filed under: Elaeis guineensis (African oil palm)
Lineage: Eukaryota; Viridiplantae; Streptophyta; Magnoliopsida; Arecales; Arecaceae
Description: long non-coding RNA (EGUI_LNC027883)
Source: RNAcentral